GCGACAGUGAACACAGGCCUGGAAAGGGCUUAUUGACUGGCCAGCAGCCAGGAAUGCAGUCAAAGAGCAUGGAAAACUUUAUGCCAUUUAUGAAACCAGGUGGGAGCUCAGAAUGUGUGCAGCAGUGGCCUGAACUGGAGGAUCUAUAGCACAUUGUGGAGACUGUCGGAGCCCAUUUGCCAUCAGGAGGCACUCUUAUGUUCAGUACAGGGAACAGAAAUGAAGGAAAGUAUAACUUGAUGGCAAAGUUAUAGUUGGUAUACCAAGUAUUUCUGACUGUGCAUGCUAAAAAUAACUAAAAUCAACCCAUGUACAGUCUUUUCUUUGUACCACACAUUCAUACAGAUGGGAUUUAAUUUUUAAGAUCAGAGGAAGUUCCAAUUCCCUCUCCGCAGCACUACUGGGCUGAAUUCUGUUGGAAAGAACAACCCCAAAGAAAGAAAAAGAGUGAUUCCCAACAGUGCCACCAGCAGAAGAGACAUCAACAGUGGCAAGAAGGAAGAAGUAACAACUGCUCAGGAGACUCCUGGCAUGUGCGGGAGUUCUUGGGGACAAGUUGAUCUAGCAUCCCUGAGAGGAGCUUAACUAAGCAGAGUGGUUAAUGAACAGCUUUGAAGUGAAGUGGGUUAUUUAGAAAUGAGUGUUUCCAGUAAGCAGAGAAGACAGAGCCUGCCCUGUACUGGAUUUCUUUGCCUUUGAAACCUCAAGUAGGACAGUGUGUCUCAAAUCUGCAGACUUGCAUAUCAGUUGUACAGAACCUUAAGGGCACAAGUGGGACUGGUCUAUCUACUGGGAUGUCAUUCAAUCUAAUUAUACUUACAGCAGAAAUAAAGCUCACAGAAGU
Long non-coding RNA from Mastomys coucha (southern multimammate mouse), 844 nucleotides. RefSeq lists it as uncharacterized. NCBI's taxonomy places the organism in Eukaryota, Metazoa, Chordata, Mammalia, Rodentia, Muridae. The transcript is spliced from 3 exons. The record is from RefSeq and is a predicted model, not a curated record.